AUUGAACGCUGGCGGCAGGCCUAACACAUGCAAGUCGAACGGUAACAGGAAGAUGCUUGCUUCUUUGCUGACGAGUGGCGGAUGGGUGAGUAAUGUCUGGGAAACUGCCUGAUGGAGGGGGAUAACUACUGGAAACGGUAGCUAAUACCGCAUAACGUCGCAAGACCAAAGAGGGGGACCUUCGGGCCUCUUGCCAUCGGAUGUGCCCAGAUGGGAUUAGCUAGUAGGUGGGGUAACGGCUCACCUAGGCGACGAUCCCUAGCUGGUCUGAGAGGAUGACCAGCCACACUGGAACUGAGACACGGUCCAGACUCCUACGGGAGGCAGCAGUGGGGAAUAUUGCACAAUGGGCGCAAGCCUGAUGCAGCCAUGCCGCGUGUAUGAAGAAGGCCUUCGGGUUGUAAAGUACUUUCAGCGGGGAGGAAGGGAGUAAAGUUAAUACCUUUGCUCAUUGACGUUACCCGCAGAAGAAGCACCGGCUAACUCCGUG
RNAcentral lists this ribosomal RNA (490 nucleotides) under uncultured bacterium. RNAcentral describes it as "partial 16S ribosomal RNA". It matches the Rfam family "Bacterial small subunit ribosomal RNA", at positions 30 to 507 of the family's 1533-position model. The record is from RNAcentral.